Molecule: ribosomal RNA, 624 nt
Filed under: uncultured archaeon
Lineage: Archaea
Description: bacterial SSU rRNA
Rfam family: Archaeal small subunit ribosomal RNA
Source: RNAcentral
UAAUACCCUAUAGGUUACAGAUGCUGGAAUGCUCUGUAAUCAAAAGUUCCGGCGCCCUAGGAUGGAUCUGCGGCCGAUUAGGUUGUUGUUGGGGUAAUGGCCCAACAAGCCAGUAAUCGGUACGGGUUGUGGGAGCAAGAGCCCGGAGUUGGAUUCUGAGACACGAAUCCAGGCCCUACGGGGCGCAGCAGGCGCGAAAACUUUACAAUGCGGGCAACCGUGAUAAGGGAACCUCGAGUGCCUGUAAAUGCAGGCUGUUCAGAUGCCUAAAACACAUCUGGAGAAAGGGCCGGGCAAGACCGGUGCCAGCCGCCGCGGUAAUACCGGCGGCUCGAGUGGUGGCCACUUUUAUUGGGCUUAAAGCGUUCGUAGCUGGGUUGUUAAGUCUCUUGGGAAAUCUGGCGGCUUAACCGUCAGGCGUCUAAGGGAUACUGGCAGUCUUGGAACCGGGAGAGGUGAGGGGUACUUCGGGGGUAGGAGUGAAAUCCUGUAAUCCUCGAGGGACCACCUGUGGCGAAGGCGCCUCACCAAAACGGCUUCGACAGUGAGGGACGAAAGCUGGGGGAGCAAACCGGAUUAGAUACCCGGGUAGUCCCAGCCGUAAACUAUGCGCGUUAGGUGUAU